Long non-coding RNA from Acanthochromis polyacanthus (spiny chromis), 3835 nucleotides. RefSeq lists it as uncharacterized. NCBI's taxonomy places the organism in Eukaryota, Metazoa, Chordata, Actinopteri, Pomacentridae. The transcript is spliced from 6 exons. The record is from RefSeq and is a predicted model, not a curated record.
GAAGCACCAAGAAGUUGAAAAUCCAACAAUUCUUUUUGUGUUUCUGACCUUGAUAAAUGGUCUAAUUUCAGCCAUUCUUUCAGGUAAAAUGUGCUGUAGACCUUUUUUCAACUGUUUUGAAAGAAAGUGAGCCUGUUGUAGCACUCACUGUGCAAUAGUCACUCUGUAAUAGUUCAUGUUGGCCAUCAAGAUUCCUGCCAGUCACAAUCAGUCACAAUCAGUCACUUCCAUAUUACUGGACCUCCUCACUGUCAGUCACAACACCUGAACCAAUCACCAGCAGUCUCUGUCCCACCUGGAAUCCACCCAUUCCUUUGUUUGAAGCACAUCAGCUUCAUUCAGUCACACACAGCAGUAACUUGAACAACAGGAUCACCCCACAUGCACAUUUCCAUUACAAGUUCUACACGGUGACUAUUUUGUCCUUCUAUUUUUGCUCUUUAGCUUUACAAUUUCACCAUCUUUAUGCUCAUUGUUUUGGUUUUUGCCCCACAACUUUACAGUUUUAAAUUCAGCGUCGCCACUGAGCUCUGAUAAACCAAACGUGGAGCAAACUGGCAAAGUUGAGAGCUCGCUGUUAACUGAGUGGCACAUUGUUCAGCUGGAGCGCCAGAUAUUUCUCUCAGGAGUUUGCGGAGAUGGAAAAAAAAACCAGAGAGUCAAUAUUGGAGUUACAUUUGUCAAGUCAGACGGAACGUAAAUCCAAAUGAAUAAUAAUGUCGCUUUGUGUUUGCUCAGUGGUGAUCAUUAGCCACAUUCAUUAUUAUGAGGUGGUGUCGGUGUAGUGUUUGCAGCGUAUUGUGCUACUCCAAGUGACCAAAACAAAUCAAUCGGCACACAUUUAAAGAGUGAAAAUAAAGCAUCUAGUGUUGCAUUAUCAGCUAUCAGAUCAGAGUUAAAGAUAUUUGGCACAAAACAUGUAAAACGCUCCAGUUUUUCCAGAGCAAAUGAAAAGCUUUCAAAGAACCAUCGAGUUAUACAGCUUGAAUCAAGGCUUCAUGAGGGUCUUGUCCUUACAAAUAAUGACUGAUGGAAUAUAAUUGCACUUGGCGUUUUUUAUGAAUGGAAGCUCUGUGGACUCAGUGAUUGCCAGCUCAUUUUGGGGUCAAGCUGCUUGUUAAGUAAAUGCAUUUGAUAUUUUCUUUGUGGCCACAGCUCUGUUACAUCCAUCAGUCAUCCGAGGUUCCAUGUUGCAGCUACGUUUCCUUCAUUACAACUUAUUUAGAAGACAUUACAAGUCAGAGCACAGAGCCCAAUACUGCAGUGAUGUGGCGAGCCAAGAUUCUACUCCUAAAUAAAACGGUAAUAAUUUGAGGAGCGCUCGAACAUAAAGUCGGAAUCUGUCUGAAGGCCGCAUUAGAUGUGGUAAUUAUUGCCAAUUCCUCACCCCGCGGAGCUGCAGAAAGACAGACGCCGCUGCCAAGUCGGAGGCAUUGUUGUGGUGACAUUUGAGUGGAGGAUCAAACCGCUGAUGAAUAAUCCAUAUUGAAAAGCUGCUCUUUCUGCCAAAUGUCAAACAGCAGCAGGAGCCAUUGUUCAAGGAGCGGACUCGAAAACUUUCUCAUUCGCCACCAUCAUAAUGCCGAGGCAGUGCAGGGUGGCGCAGUAAGCAAACAGUUGUUUAAAAUCUGAUGAGUCUUGUAAUCCACUGCCUUGAUAAUGGACUCCUCGCUGACUGUUUUCAUUUUCUAAAACUAAUGCUGUUGGCUUUCCCGUCGUAAUUUGAGUAAAAGUACAUUUGAUGCUACAGUCCACUUCCAGGCAGCUGCAGCAACAAGAACAAUUUGCUUUCCUGCAGCUUCUUCCUCAUCAUCGCAGCAGUAUCCAGGCUAUAAAUUGCUCCUCUAUUCUAGAUAAUCAAAGGAAUCUGUUAUGGAUGGGCUCCCUCUAUGAGAUCUCACUGUAUCUCACAAAUCCUUCGCUCUCAUCGUCAGCCAGGCUUUUUCCACGUUCAUCCUCGGCCGCUCGGCGUGCAGCGAGCGAGAGCCAAUAUCAACUUCCUGCUUCACUGCGACAGCUGAGAGGAUCACUUUCUGUGAGCGCAGGAGCUUUGCAGAUUUUGCUUUUCAUUGUCAUAAACUGUUUUUUUUCUAAUUAGCUCAGCACAAAGCCAGACAAUAUUUCAGAACAUGAAAAAAUAGACUUUUGACUUAACAACAAGCAGUUUCCAGUUGGUCGGGCUGCACAUCUUUGGGCUGAUUAAAUAAAAAUAAAACUAAUCAGUGAGUACAGAUUGAGGUUAAAUGGAAGCAGAGGGUUUGGUGUUGCGACAUGUCAGCCAUCUCCAGGCCUCCGUAAACACAAAAUUCGCACCACCUGAGAUUCUAAAUGCGGACUGAAAACAGGUCAGCCGUACACAAACACACACACCGAGCCGGACUUCCAUUUCCUCGCGUCACACGCUGACUCAGACUGUUCUCAUGGCUCAGAUUGUCAGAUUGUCCCCUGCAUUUUUGUGGUGGUGGAAAUGACGCAAUGCUGGAGCUGCAGUGGGUCUUCUGUUUGGAAAUUUGCUAAAACACAACCUGGUUCACACUGAAAGGCUGUUUGUGCCAGAUGCAGGACCAUUGUAAAGUUGUUUUUGUUAUUUUAUGCACAUAUACAGAGCGCAGAGUAUUAUCGGCAUUUGUACUCACACUAGUAAUGCAAACGUUGAUAUUUAACAGGCAGGUAAAUGCAAUUUUAUUGAUACAGCACCUUUUAAAUGGUAGGUUACAAUGUGUGUACAGGAAAUAAUGAUUAUAAAUGAAGAACAGAAGAGUAAAAAUGGCAUUACAGCAAAGAAAAAUAGAAAUAGUUUGGCUCAGGAAAAAAAAUAAUGUACGUGUAACUGCCACAUUUUCAUUUCCCUGUAUUUUCUGUGUAUUUUGAUGUUAUGGUUUAAUGCCACUAGAAGGCGCUGUGGCGCGAGAGUAAGCCUUUGUAUGCUGAGUAUGGUUAAUUUCACGUGAAGAAGCGAUCUCAGACAGAGAGAAGAAGAAGCGAUCUGAGAGAGAGAAUUAAGUAUGAGAAAAACUAAGACAAAAGGUUAAAAGUUGAAGAAGAUUUAAGAUAAACAAGAAGAAAGAAGAAAACCCAAGCUAAUUCCUCUGUCGGUACUCAGUCAACGAGGUUUUCUCCAGGUGAUCUGACUGCCACCGACAGUCCAAAGACAUGCAUGGAGUCUAGCUUGGCCACAUGAGUGACUUUGUCUAUUAUCAGCUUCAGUAGACUCAAGCUCCUCAUGGCCCUCUACAGGAUAGAGCAGGGACACCAGUGCUACAUAAUUUUGCCUUGGAGCUAGAAGAUCCUCGGUUCAUGUCCCGGCCUUCCCAGGAUCUUUCUGCAUGGAGUUUGCACGUUCUCCCUGUGCAUGCAUGGCUUUUCUCCAGGCUUUGAAAUGUACAACACUGCAAACAGAAACGUAUUAAAGUCUGAGACGGCAGAGCGGGAUAACUUCUGCAGAUGCUAUCUUCAGGAACGCCAGCCUCAUUUAUCUGUCAUCCUCCUGGGGGUUCGGGGAGCGUCUUUAUCAGGGUUCCGCAGAAAGGAAUUCGCAAAGACUGCAGAUGAAAUAUGGACGGGUUGGUUUCAGCAGAAUCACUACUGGCAGCCCUGAGAGGAGGAGAUAAUUACCACUUUGACAAGCUUUGAUCACAGAUGUAGAGAAAGGCGAUCCGAUGCGAUGGCUACCGUAACGUCUUUGGGUUGGGAGAGGAGAAAUGUCAUGGGAUUCAUUUAUGCUUCACCUCCUCCUGUAUCCUGCUCAUCAGCCCGCCGCUGAUGUCGUUCUCCUGAAGGCUCAGGUGCCUCAGUGGAAACUGCGUCCUGCACAGCAGAGCGCCCAUGAUGUCAU